This 399-nucleotide ribosomal RNA is filed under the name uncultured bacterium. RNAcentral describes it as "partial 16S ribosomal RNA". It matches the Rfam family "Bacterial small subunit ribosomal RNA", at positions 338 to 734 of the family's 1533-position model. The record is from RNAcentral.
CCUACGGGUGGCAGCAGUGAGGAAUAUUGGUCAAUGGGCGUAAGCCUGAACCAGCCAAGUCGCGUGAAGGAUGAAGGCUCUAUGGGUCGUAAACUUCUUUUAUAUGGGAAUAAAAUGUGGGACGUGUCAGAUUUUGUAUGUACCUUAUGAAUAAGGAUCGGCUAACUCCGUGCCAGCAGCCGCGGUAAUACGGAGGAUCCGAGCGUUAUCCGGAUUUAUUGGGUUUAAAGGGUGCGUAGGCGGCCUUUUAAGUCAGCUGUGAAAGUCUGUGGCUCAACCAUAGAAUUGCAGUUGAAACUGGGGGUCUUGUGUAUGUUAGAGGUAGGCGGAAUGCGUGGUGUAGCGGUGAAAUGCUUAGAUAUCACGAAGAACCCCGAUUGCGAAGGCAGCUUACUGGAC